This 103-nucleotide microRNA precursor is filed under the name Marmota monax (woodchuck). The record is from RNAcentral. Lineage: Eukaryota; Metazoa; Chordata; Mammalia; Rodentia; Sciuridae.
AGUGGAAGUGCUAGGUCAUAUGAUAACUUUAUGUUUAAUUAUUUGAGGAAAUACCAUACUAUUUUCCAAAGUGACUUUAUCAUUUUACAUACCCACCAGUAGU